This 254-nucleotide ribosomal RNA is filed under the name uncultured bacterium. RNAcentral describes it as "partial 16S ribosomal RNA". It matches the Rfam family "Bacterial small subunit ribosomal RNA", at positions 524 to 776 of the family's 1533-position model. The record is from RNAcentral.
UACGUAGGGUGCGAGCGUUGUCCGGAAUUAUUGGGCGUAAAGAGCUCGUAGGCGGUCUGUCGCGUCGGUCGUGAAAACUUGGGGCUUAACCCUGAGCUUGCGGUCGAUACGGGCAUGACUGGAGUUCGGCAGGGGAGACUGGAAUUCCUGGUGUAGCGGUGAAAUGCGCAGAUAUCAGGAGGAACACCGGUGGCGAAGGCGGGUCUCUGGGCCGAAACUGACGCUGAGGAGCGAAAGCGUCGGGAGCAAACAGG